Molecule: ribosomal RNA, 253 nt
Filed under: uncultured bacterium
Lineage: Bacteria
Description: partial 16S ribosomal RNA
Rfam family: Bacterial small subunit ribosomal RNA
Source: RNAcentral
UACAGAGGUCCCAAGCGUUGUUCGGAUUCAUUGGGCGUAAAGGGUGCGUAGGUGGUCGGGUAAGUCUGAGGUGAAAUCUCCGAGCUCAACUCGGAAACUGCCUUGGAUACUAUCCGGCUUGAGGGUUGGAGGGGGGACUGGAAUUCUCGGUGUAGCAGUGAAAUGCGUAGAUAUCGAGAGGAACACCAGUGGCGAAGGCGAGUCCCUGGACAACUCCUGACGCUGAGGCACGAAAGCUAGGGGAGCAAACAGG